GUUGUUCUACACUUAUGAUGCACCGGUUAGAAGCAUUUAUGUAUAGGAAAAGUAACUUUGUGGCUAAUUGUCUAGCGAGCAUCCCUGUCGGAUUCCCCAAAUGGGAUAUAUCCUUAUAAUUUGGGGAUAAAUUUAGAGUUCUGGUAAAAAACUCAUCCCAUUGGAUUUCCCAUUUUGUGGAAAAAUUUUGUGUCUUCUUCUCUCUCGACGGUGACCCAUUCCUCGAAACACCAACAAUCACAGCCCCUAUCCAUCGGCAGAUUUUUGUAUUCGUAUCUCUAAGGGGAGGGGACUGUUAUUAGGCUGUGAUGAUGGUGUUAUAGUGCGGGUUAAUUCACAAGUGUGAACCUUGGACACCAUCAGAUAUGGCGGGGUAAUUCCCACUCGGAUUGUUAUAUUGCAGUUUCUGAUACUUUUCAAAAAAGGCAAUGGAGGUUUGGGUGAUGGUUUUGCAGCCAUUUGAUGUUGUCAACAUUCGGUUCUUGAGCCAACGAUGGAAAAAUCCCAAACUUCAUAGUUACGUGUCUAACAUUUCAAUGCAUUUUUAGAUAUGGAUUCACAAGACCCUGGCCAUAUGUACUUCACCAACCUCCUAAGUCAAGAUCCUCAACUAGAUUCCACUUGCGGUGGGCAAAGUGGAAACUCUCCUAUUUGAUGACUCUCCACCCCUACCUCAUAACAAUCCUAUCGGAGUUAGGAAAUCAAUUAGGGUGUGAACUUCACCCCGAAGAAGACAAGUUACUUGUUUCCGUAUGGUUUGAUUGUAGCCUUGAUGCCGUCCAGGGAACAGACCAAAAACACUCACAACUUUGAAAAAAAAAAAAUUUUGAAUACUUCGAGCAAUUUAAAGAAACCACAAAUAACAGGACAACAGUCUUUAAUACAUCGAUGGUCAGUUAUUCAAAAGGCGAUAAACAAAUUUUUUACCAAACUAACCCAGGUUGAAGGCUUGAAUCAAAGUGGUAUGACCGAGCAAGACAAGUAUGACAAGGCGAAGAUUAUGUACCAAUCACUAGAGAAAUGUUUAUUCCAGUUCGAGCAUUUUUUGCACUUGUUGAAGGACCAACCUAAAUGGAUUUGGUGUUCAACAAAGGAGGAUCCAAAGCGAAGGAAGACGAUGUCCCCAUUCCCUACCCCGACUCGAUGUUCAAGCGCUGAGACGGUAGAUUCAGGUUUUAUCUCGCGCCGAAUAAUGUGAGGGAUAAUGACAUGAUCGAAUUGGACCAACCAAUGGGAAUGAAAGCUAAGAAAGAAAAACAAAAGGCCAAAGACAUGGCAGAAAAGGAGAUUGUUGUGCUCAGCAGGCUGAAGUAUACCCUUGUGGAGGAGUCACAUGCUCAGGAGAAAGAGUUUUAUUGCCUCAAGGCCGAGAAGAUGGAAUAUGACAAGAAAAAAUAGGUAAAUGAAAUCCGUCAAGAGGAUGAAAGACUGAGGUGAGAGGCUGAGAAGAUGGAAAUUGACAAGGAAAAAGAGCUAAAUAAAAUCCAUCAAGAAGAUGAAAGAUUGAGGUUGGAGUCAGAGAAAGUAGAGCUCGCCAAGAAGAAAGCGGAUCAGUGCAUUAUGAUAAUGGACGUUAGUGCCAUGCCAACACUGCAGCGGUUAUAUUUCGAGGACCUGCAAAGUGAAAUCAUGGCGAGACUUAACGAUCUUGCACAUUUGGAUUGAUAAAAAAUUAGGAAUUUUUUCACAGUUUAUUUCUUUAUUUUCUAUUUCAAACAAAUAUGUAUGACAAUAUUAUUUAUACUAAGAUAGUUUAAUUUUUAUUU
Molecule: long non-coding RNA, 1766 nt
Organism: Juglans regia (Persian walnut)
Lineage: Eukaryota; Viridiplantae; Streptophyta; Magnoliopsida; Fagales; Juglandaceae
Exons: 3
Source: RefSeq, a predicted model, not a curated record